Molecule: non-coding RNA, 82 nt
Organism: Apis mellifera (honey bee)
Lineage: Eukaryota; Metazoa; Arthropoda; Insecta; Hymenoptera; Apidae
Source: RefSeq, marked provisional
CACUUAAGGCACGGUUACGGUUCUCUUCGCUGUCCUUCGCGAGUUUAAAUCGACGAGAAUUCCGUGACCGGUCCUAGGUGUG